GCUGGUCCGCCCGCGGCCAAGGCCAGAGGCCGCCGCAUUCAGCGCCGCUCCCCGCCGCGGGUCUGCGCCCCCGGUCGCCCGCCGGAGCCCGGCCGGAGCCUGCCCGGGACACCCUGCGCCCGCCCCAGCGGCUCACGCCGCGCCCCCGCGGGCCCCGCAACUCGUCGCAGCUCCGCGGGCCCCAAAGCGAUGCGAGGGGAAGCGGGGCCCAGACCAGCAGGGAGGCGGCGCAGAAUGGCCAGAGGCGAGGCUGGCGCACCUCCCCGACAUACGCAGAGCCCCAGGUCUUUAAGGCCGGUCACGCCGAGGCCUCGCCCGGCUCCAGCCUACACCUGACACACACCAGUUGUGACUGACCUGAUGCCUAGCAACUGACUCUGCAUGGCCGACUCACAGGUACAACUCGAACCUGCCAACCAGCCGCGUGUGUGCAGGACCCCGCUGGCGCCGCUUGGCCUGACGGGAGCUGUAGUCCGCCUCCUCCCUGUCAGCCCCGGGAGAAGAGCCGUGCGAACUACAAGUCCCAGCAACCCAUGCGGCUGGCCUAAGAUGACACUCCCGGAAACAUUGAUGUCUGCCCUGGAGCCCAGUGCUGCCUCUCUAGCCUGGUGGUUCAGGGUCGGCUUCUUGUGGUUUUUAAGGAGCAGGAAGCUCUGGAUAAUGGAUGAGUGAGCAACUCUGCCCCAUGGUGAUUUAAUGAGAGAAAUCUAAGCUGUUAUUUUUAUUGAUUUGUAUUCAUUUUGGACCAGGAAAGAGAAUUGAGAGUAGGGGCCAGGUGAUGGUGCACCUGGCUGAGCGCACAUUACAGGCAUGAGACUGAAAUUAUCUUCACUUAUUUAUUGAACAGAGACAGCAAGAAAUCAAGAGGGGAGGAGACAUACGGAGCGAAAGAGGCACAGACACGUGCAGGCCUGCUUCUCCACUUGCAAAGCUUUCUCCCUGCAGGUGGGGCCUGGGAGCUCGAACCUGAGUCCUUGCACUGUGACGAACCUGAGUCCUUGCACUGUGACGUGUGCUCAGGUGCACCACCACACAGCCCCGCUUUUUUUUUUUUCUUACCAGAGCACUGAUCAUCUGUAAUUAAACUGGUGCAAAGGAUUAAACCUGAGAUUUGGAGACUAAGUCACUAGAGUUUCUUUGCAUAAAUAACCAUUAUGGUCUCUUCCUUGUCCCAUUGUAUUUAUUUAUACAUUUCUUUCUUUUUUAUUAUUUAAGAAAGGAGACAUUAACAAAAUCAUAGAAUUGGAGGGGUACAACUCCACACAAUUCCUGCCACCCAAUCUCCAUAUCCCACCCCCUCCCCUGAUAGCUUUCCCAUUCUCUAUCCCUCUGGGAGCAUGGACCCAGGGUCAUUGUGGGUUGCAGAAGGUAGAAGGUCUGGCUUCUGUAACUGCUUCCCCGCUGAACAUGGGCGUUGACAGGUGGAUCCAUACUCCCAGUCUGCCUCUCUCUUUCCCUAGUAGGGUGGGUCUCUGGGGAAGCAGAGCUCCAGGACACAUUGGUGGUGUUGUCUGUCCAGGGAAGCCUGGCCGACAUCCUGAUGGCAUCUGGAACCUGGUGGCUGAAAAGAAAGUUAACAUACAAAGCCAAACAAAUUGUUGAAGAAUCAUGGACCCAAAGGAUGGAAUAGUGGAGAGGAAGUGUUGGGGGGACUCACUGCAAACUCUAGUGUACUACUGCUUUCAAAACACUGUUCAACUUUGGCUUCUGGUGGUACAGGGGAUUGAACCUGGCACUUUGGAGCCUCAGGCAUGAGAGUCUCUUAGAAUUUUGAGAACUUUUCACCUGCUUUCAGAACAUCAGAUUGCAUACCUGCCCUUGAGUGGUGUGCCCCUCAUGAUUCUUGAGCAGGACAAGGAAGUUGACAGGCUGCUGAACCUGGGUCUCCCUUCCCCCGUGAAGAUGUUCACCCCACUGUGGGAAUCUGAUAGGUUCCAGUCUCCUUCAAUCAUUCUGUCAACCCUGGAUGCUGAAUUGCCACCUAUUUGCUAUGACUGAACUAUUUAAACUUGA
Long non-coding RNA from Erinaceus europaeus (western European hedgehog), 2013 nucleotides. RefSeq lists it as uncharacterized. Lineage: Eukaryota; Metazoa; Chordata; Mammalia; Eulipotyphla; Erinaceidae. The transcript has 3 exons. The record is from RefSeq and is a predicted model, not a curated record.